UGGGGUGACUGCGUACCUUUUGUAUAAUGGGUCAGCGACUUAUAUUCUGUAGCAAGGUUAACCGAAUAGGGGAGCCGGAGGGAAACCGAGUCUUAAUUGGGCGUUAAGUUGCAGGGUAUAGACCCGAAACCCGGUGAUCUAGCCAUGGGUAGGUUGAAGGUUGGGUAACACUAACUGGAGGACCGAACCGACUAAUGUUGAAAAAUUAGCGGAUGACCUGUGGCUGGGGGUGAAAGGCCAAUCAAACCGGGAGAUAGCUGGUUCUCCCCGAAAGCUAUUUAGGUAGCGCCUCGUGAACUCAUCUCCGGGGGUAGAGCACUGUUUCGGCUAGGGGGCCAUCCCGGCUUACCAACCCGAUGCAAACUGCGAAUACCGGAGAAUGUUAUCACGGGAGACACACGGCGGGUGCUAACGUCCGUCGUGAAGAGGGAAACAACCCAGACCGCCAGCUAAGGUCCCAAAGUCAUGGUUAAGUGGGAAACGAUGUGGGAAGGCCCAGACAGCCAGGAUGUUGGCUUAGAAGCAGCCAUCAUUUAAAGAAAGCGUAAUAGCUCACUGGUCGAGUCGGCCUGCGCGGAAGAUGUAACGGGGCUAAACCAUGCACCGAAGCUGCGGCAGCGAACGUAUCACCCAAGACAACUUUGCGGAGUUGACGAUUGACGGAGCGAAGCGACGUCAAAGCGUUCAUUAAAGUCGAGUUGGCUUAGGGAUACGUUCGUUGGGUAGGGGAGCGUUCUGUAAGCCAGUGAAGGUGUGUCGUGAGGCAUGCUGGAGGUAUCAGAAGUGCGAAUGCUGACAUAAGUAACGAUAAAGCGGGUGAAAAGCCCGCUCGCCGGAAGACCAAGGGUUCCUGUCCAACGUUAAUCGGGGCAGGGUGAGUCGACCCCUAAGGCGAGGCCGAAAGGCGUAGUCGAUGGGAAACAGGUUAAUAUUCCUGUACUUGGUGUUACUGCGAAGGGGGGACGGAGAAGGCUAUGUUGGCCGGGCGACGGUUGUCCCGGUUUAAGCGUGUAGGUGUGUGUUCCAGGUAAAUCCGGUUCACUUUAACACUGAGGCGUGAUGACGAGGCACUACGGUGCUGAAGCAACAAAUGCCCUGCUUCCAGGAAAAGCCUCUAAGCAUCAGGUAACAUCAAAUCGUACCCCAAACCGACACAGGUGGUCAGGUAGAGAAUACCAAGGCGCUUGAGAGAACUCGGGUGAAGGAACUAGGCAAAAUGGUGCCGUAACUUCGGGAGAAGGCACGCUGACACGUAGGUGAAGUGAUUUACUCAUGGAGCUGAAGUCAGUCGAAGAUACCAGCUGGCUGCAACUGUUUAUUAAAAACACAGCACUGUGCAAACACGAAAGUGGACGUAUACGGUGUGACGCCUGCCCGGUGCCGGAAGGUUAAUUGAUGGGGUCAGCGCAAGCGAAGCUCCUGAUCGAAGCCCCGGUAAACGGCGGCCGUAACUAUAACGGUCCUAAGGUAGCGAAAUUCCUUGUCGGGUAAGUUCCGACCUGCACGAAUGGCGUAAUGAUGGCCAGGCUGUCUCCACCCGAGACUCAGUGAAAUUGAACUCGCUGUGAAGAUGCAGUGUACCCGCGGCAAGACGGAAAGACCCCGUGAACCUUUACUAUAGCUUGACACUGAACAUUGAGCCUUGAUGUGUAGGAUAGGUGGGAGGCUUUGAAGCGUGGACGCCAGUCUGCGUGGAGCCGACCUUGAAAUACCACCCUUUAAUGUUUGAUGUUCUAACGUGGACCCGU
RNAcentral lists this ribosomal RNA (1748 nucleotides) under Salmonella enterica. Its description in RNAcentral is "partial 23S ribosomal RNA". It matches the Rfam family "Bacterial large subunit ribosomal RNA", at positions 589 to 2236 of the family's 2925-position model. The record is from RNAcentral. Lineage: Bacteria; Pseudomonadati; Pseudomonadota; Gammaproteobacteria; Enterobacterales; Enterobacteriaceae.